GACGAACGCUGGCGGCGUGCCUAAUACAUGCAAGUCGAACGAACCGCUACUGAGUGCUUGCCCUUGGUGUUGGUGAGUGACGAACGGGUGAGUAAUACGUGGGUAACCUAUAUCAUAGUGGGGACUUACAGUCGGAAACGACUGCUCAUAAUGACUUGUACAUGGACACACUUGUAUCGGUAAGGAUAGGUUGCCUAUCCCAUAUAGAUGAAAUGGACCCGCGGUGGAUUAGCUAGAUGGUAGGGUAAGGGCUUACCAAGGCGACGAUGCAUAGCCGACCUGAGAGGGUGAUCGGCCACACUGGAACUGAGACACGGCCCAGACUCCUACGGGAGGCAGCAGUAGGGAAUCUUCCGCAAUGGGCGCAAGCCUGACGGAGCAACGCCGCGUGAGUGAUGAAGGGUUUCGGCUCGUAAAGCUCUGUUAUUAGAGAAGAACAACGGUGUAAGUAACUGUGAAGCGCUUGACGGUAUCUAACCAGAAAGCCACGGCUAACCACGUG
RNAcentral lists this ribosomal RNA (502 nucleotides) under uncultured bacterium. Its description in RNAcentral is "partial 16S ribosomal RNA". It matches the Rfam family "Bacterial small subunit ribosomal RNA", at positions 28 to 507 of the family's 1533-position model. The record is from RNAcentral.